GCCUGUUUUAGCUAAUAUAUUUGUCAAGGCAACAUCAAUUCAGCAUAUUUUAACUUAGUAACACAAAAUAUUAAUUUCUUUUAUUAGCCAUAUAUAUAUAUAGAUUUAUAGGACACUAAUAUCUGAAGUGAACCAUGCUGUCCUGGUUUGUAAAGGAACAAUCAUCCUCCAAAUCAAAUCAUAAGUCACCCCCUUCGUAAUUGUUAACAUUUUCAUAACUAAUUUAAUUACUCAUUUUUUUCUCAGUAACUGUAAUUGAUUACAAUUACGUUUAAUUUGUAAUUAAAUGAUUUAAUGCUACUCUCCAACACUGGCGACAUCAUAGUUACUUUGUCAUGAAAUUAGGCCUAUACAAAAAAAAUUAUACAUAACUAUAGUUAUGUAAUUUACAGCAUUUUUUGUGUAAGCCUAAUUUCAUGACUUACUGACAUGCGGGAGACCAUUUUCAGGAUAUUUGGCAUAUGAUUAAAAGUGAAUAUUAUAAAAUAAAAGCAUUUGCAAAUAGUUCCACUUGAUUACUGAAAUUCUAGUUCUUAACUUCUCUGUAAUAAUGAUUGCUGAAUAAUUAAGAUUAAAGUUUUUAAAGUGUUUUCUUAAAUUGGUCUAUUCAUAAAGUCGUGGCUUUAAAUGUUGCAUGCACUGCAAAAAAUGAUUUUCUUCCUCAGUAUUUUUGUCUUGUUUUCUAGUUCAAAUAUCUAAACAUCUAUAACUCAAAACACUUGAGAAGCAAAAUGAAUGUGUGAAGUCUUAUUUAGUUUAUGCUUAAUGCCUAAAACAAGAACUAUCUGUGAGUGGGGAAUGAAAACCUGAUUUCUCUUUGAAUGAGGGUGAUUUUUUUCUGACCUCGUUGACAGAUAUUUGUUUGAUUUUUGUUUUAAUGGUAAAUGGUUUUGCUGUCUUGUUUCAGUGAAUGUUCUUUUUGAGUUCAGAAUGUUUCAGUAUGAUUUAUAGUACAAUAGUGUCUGAUCUUUAUCUCUAUGCAUUCGAACAGAAUGAUGAGUUUGUGUAAUUAUCUUGUUCUUCUUGUUCUUUCAGGUCGGUUCUGCUCUUGUUCUCUGAAGGUUUACUCCUGGAGCGUGGCGUCAUGUGUGGAGCGUGUUUGAGGCAGAAACACACGUCUGAUCCUCAGAGACUGAAGAUUAAAUGCCUCCAAAACGACUGCAGGCCUUCAGCAGAGACGUCACUCAAGAGCAUUUUCUAG
Molecule: long non-coding RNA, 1201 nt
Organism: Cyprinus carpio carpio
Lineage: Eukaryota; Metazoa; Chordata; Actinopteri; Cypriniformes; Cyprinidae
Source: Ensembl